This is a long non-coding RNA of Oncorhynchus tshawytscha (Chinook salmon), 1662 nucleotides long. The record is from Ensembl. Lineage: Eukaryota; Metazoa; Chordata; Actinopteri; Salmoniformes; Salmonidae.
GUCAAAUACAUGAACACAACAACGUGUAGCUAUGAAUGGAGAGGGAUGCUUUAAGAAAACACCGAAACGCAGCACUUUGACCUGAACAAACUAGAACAUUCAUCGGUAUGUAAUAAUGUACAUGGUUGUAAACAGGGUUGACGGGGGGGUUCGAUUCCAUUUCAAAUCAGAAAGUUAAAACCAAAUUACAAUUCCAAAUGUUUCCUCAUUAAAAAGCAUUGACGAUUGUUGAAAUUCCAAUUUUUCCUUCCUGAAUUGAAAUGGAAUUUACCCCCAACCUUGGUUGUAAACUAAUAGAUGUCCACUCUGGGCCACCGUAGUAGUGGACAUAAGAGCCUGGAGUUACUACUGACCCCUUGACCUGACCAGGUAGGCAUAUUUAACAGCUGUUUGGCUGUUGUUUGGCAGACCAGGUUCAUUCAUAUACCAAAUCAAUUCCUUUCCUUUUUAAGACAACACUGACCGGUGUCUAAGAGCAUUGGGCUUAAUAUAAAGGAGACUGGGGCUGCAUGGGAGAUAUCUCAAUCCACUACACUGGCUUCCUUCUUUCAUCUCCUUUCCUUCAUGAUAGGUGAGAGAGGCUUUCACCAUAUGUUGCUUCCACCUGCCAGAUCAGAGAUCACGAAGGAGAAGUACAAUGAAAGGAAGCACGCUUACACUAUUGAGACAGCCCAGGUCCUGUAUCUAGAUUGGGGAAGUAACCUAUUAUACUCACUACUUAAAUAAACACAUUUUUAAAAAAGAAUUUGCAAGGCACAGUGAAAUUUACAACUGGUAAACAUCAGUUACCUAGACAUCAUUAAAUCCAGUAGGUUUCUAGUAAUAUGGCCUAACGACAGAUUCUAAUUUGGUCCAAAAGGAUAGACAAGUUUGAGUGCAUUUGCAGCAAACAGAUGACAUAUCUUAACCUUUAGACAGUACCAGGUCAUAUCUUAACCUUUAGACAGUACCAGGUCAUAUCUUAACCUUUAGACAGUACCAGGUCAUAUCUUAACCUUUAGACAGUACCAGGUCAUAUCUUAACCUUUAGACAGUACCAGGUCAUAUCUUAACCUUUAGACAGUACCAGGUCAUCUCUUAACCUUUAGACAGUACCAGGUCAUCUCUUAACCUUUAGACAGUACCAGGUCAUGUCUUAACCUUUAGACAGUACCAGGUCAUCUCCAUUGGCAAUCCAAUUGUGAAAGAUCUGUAUUUCUUGACCGGAGUGUUGAGGGUUAAUUGAUAAUCCCGGAUGUUGUUUGGAGUAAAAGGGUGAACGUGAGUUGAUGUACAAAUUGGUGAUCUUUCCAAGACCACUGGUAUAGAGAAAUAUACAUUACCAUUGUUAUCGUCAUAACUAAACUGAAAUGUGUUGCUUUAAAAAAAAACUAAAUUACAUAUUUAAGUAAUAUGCAAUAAUACCAAAACAUCAACCAUGUACUUUUCAAUUCAUAAUGAAACUCACAGAAGAUACCACUUCACAUGUUUCAGCAUUUAAAAGCAAAACAUGUAGAAUAGUAUAAUAGUCCCAUCAUACAAAGACUAACAUUAAGCUGAGACAAAAACCUGCUGAACAAAACAUGAAGCACUGACAGACAGAGAGAACAUGAAGCACUGAGAGAGAGAGAACAUGAAGCACUGACAGACAGAGAGAACAUGAAGCACUGACAGAGAGAGAGA